GUGGGGAAUAUUGGACAAUGGGGGGAACCCUGAUCCAGCCAUGCCGCGUGUGUGAAGAAGGCCUUUUGGUUGUAAAGCACUUUAAGCGAGGAGGAGGCUACCGAGAUUAAUACUCUUGGAUAGUGGACGUUACUCGCAGAAUAAGCACCGGCUAACUCUGUGCCAGCAGCCGCGGUAAUACAGAGGGUGCAAGCGUUAAUCGGAUUUACUGGGCGUAAAGCGCGCGUAGGUGGCCAAUUAAGUCAAAUGUGAAAUCCCCGGGCUUAAGUUGGGAAUUGCAUUCGAUACUGGUUGGCUAGAGUAUGGGAGAAGAUGGUAGAAUACCAGGUGUAGCGGUGAAAUGCGUAGAGAUCUGGAGGAAUACCGAUGGCGAAGGCAGCCAUCUGGCCUAAUACUGACACUGAGGUGCGAAAGCAUGGGGAGCAAACAGGAUUAGAUACCCUAGUAGUCC
This 451-nucleotide ribosomal RNA is filed under the name uncultured bacterium. RNAcentral's name for it is "partial 16S ribosomal RNA". It matches the Rfam family "Bacterial small subunit ribosomal RNA", at positions 354 to 796 of the family's 1533-position model. The record is from RNAcentral.